AAUAAGGCCCUCUUUGGGGCCAUUUUCAUAAACAGAAUUGAGAUA
This is a non-coding RNA of Neotoma lepida (desert woodrat), 45 nucleotides long. The record is from Rfam. Lineage: Eukaryota; Metazoa; Chordata; Mammalia; Rodentia; Cricetidae.